Molecule: unclassified non-coding RNA, 446 nt
Filed under: Athalia rosae (coleseed sawfly)
Lineage: Eukaryota; Metazoa; Arthropoda; Insecta; Hymenoptera; Athaliidae
Description: misc RNA ENSAEAG00005009832.1
Source: RNAcentral
UCGGUAUUCGACCAUUGCAGCGUCUCGUACGUAGAUCCUCCUUUUCCGAGGCAACGGCAGUAUGGCCGCAGCAGCCAAAGCGACGUCGUCAUCGGGAGCGACAUCGGUGCUAGUGCGUAAAUCCUUUGAGAAGAGAUAGAAGAAGCUAGCGAGGAGAGAGAGACAUACAUUGGGGCUUUCAAUACGUCAUCACGGUGCCUAGUUCUUCGCAGUACUCAUUCAACUUCCAACCACGAAGGGCAGGAGUUAUACAUGGCAUCGCACAAUUCGUUUACAGAUCCAUCUCGACUGGGUGAAGACGAAGGGAAGUAUCUCGUCGAACAGACUCGGUGAUGUCCUGAUUUGGUUUCAUCACGCAAUGGUCAUCUACCAGGAAGAAAAACAAAUAUCACAUGUAAAAUUCAAGUCACGAUGUAACAACCACUCAUAUUUAUAUUAUUUUUGUA